Long non-coding RNA from Carassius gibelio (silver crucian carp), 837 nucleotides. RefSeq lists it as uncharacterized. The record is from RefSeq and is a predicted model, not a curated record. The transcript has 4 exons. NCBI's taxonomy places the organism in Eukaryota, Metazoa, Chordata, Actinopteri, Cypriniformes, Cyprinidae.
AUUUAAGCUUUUCUUUUGUAGGCAGAUUCAACUGAUCACAACAACUCUGGAUUCACGGUUUCUGUGGACAUUGAUUUAUUUCAUCACUUUGAAUCUUAAAGGGAAUAAUAAGAAACGAAGAAGAGGAGAGAGAUGAAGAGGAAGAGGGAGGAAGAUUCACAAGCCAGUGGAUCAAAACCAGCAAAUGAGGAGAAACUGGUUAAAUCGAGCAGUAUGGGUCAUCUGAGACCAGACUUCUCUCAUGAUGCAGAAAAGCCUGAGAGUCAUUCGGAUGUGUCUCAAUCAAAGCCGAGGGUCCUGAACAAUCUCCAGCAGAUCAUCUGAACGCCAACAAGACAAACCUCUACGAAUCUCUCACGUUUCUUCAAAUGGAGCUGCAAGAGUUAAUUGUUUACAGGCCCGGCUCCAUCCAAUCAGGAGCUUGGUUCACACCCCUGUCUCACUCCAAAUAACAUCCAGCUGUUGUUCAAUGUUCAGUUCAGCUCCAGGUUUUGAGGGAGAUUUAUCUCUUUGGCAGCUUGGUGUGAAAAUCCCACGUGUUCUUCAGAAAGUAGAGAGAAUUUUUUUACAGAUGUAUUUUAAUUUUUGCACUUCAUUGCAUUGUGUUUUAGGAUUGUCUUUAGAUUUUAUGAAUAAUGUCCUGGCAUUUUUACAGUAUUGCUGUUUUCUGUUUGCACACAGAGCCCAUUUCAGACAUCACUGACCUGAAUUCACUUUUGGGUUUUAUCAUGAGAGAAAAAAACUGCUUUAUAAACCUGCAUUUAAUUAAAAACUAAAGAAAAUGAAAUCGCUUUGCUUAAAUAUGCUCUUGACUUCACUUCUUUAACUUUAAUAAGA